GAUGAACACUGGCGGCGUGCCUAAUACAUGCAAGUCGAGCGAACAGACGAGGAGCUUGCUCCUCUGACGUUAGCGGCGGACGGGUGAGUAACACGUGGAUAACCUACCUAUAAGACUGGGAUAACUUCGGGAAACCGGAGCUAAUACCGGAUAAUAUAUUGAACCGCAUGGUUCAAUAGUGAAAGACGGUUUUGCUGUCACUUAUAGAUGGAUCCGCGCCGCAUUAGCUAGUUGGUAAGGUAACGGCUUACCAAGGCGACGAUGCGUAGCCGACCUGAGAGGGUGAUCGGCCACACUGGAACUGAGACACGGUCCAGACUCCUACGGGAGGCAGCAGUAGGGAAUCUUCCGCAAUGGGCGAAAGCCUGACGGAGCAACGCCGCGUGAGUGAUGAAGGUCUUCGGAUCGUAAAACUCUGUUAGUAGGGAAGAACAAAUGUGUAAGUAACUAUGCACGUCUUGACGGUACCUAAUCAGAAAGCCACGGCUAACUACGUG
RNAcentral lists this ribosomal RNA (497 nucleotides) under uncultured bacterium. Its description in RNAcentral is "partial 16S ribosomal RNA". It matches the Rfam family "Bacterial small subunit ribosomal RNA", at positions 28 to 507 of the family's 1533-position model. The record is from RNAcentral.